UAAAAAUACUUUUUUUGACCGGUCACGUGUUUCUCUUCGUCUGAGAAGCCCACGCGAUCACGUUCCUUGAUAUGUUUCCCCUUGUUAAAGGGAAACAGACACAUGAGGGGCUCUAUUUCAAUUCUGUGAAGAUGUGUUGGAGAGCAGCUGUCUGUCUGGGGGGGGGGGGGGGGGGGCAUCUGUCCCCCCGACAUUACUGUUGUUGUCCCUACGGACAGUAGUGUGUGUAAUCCACCAUUAAGACCAGUAGCUAUGAGCUAGAUAUCAUGUUGCCGUUGCUACAUGGAUGGAAUCGUGUCGAUUGCAAAGGUUCUUGGCGAGUUUGUGCAAACUUUUCCGACGAAGAUGAAGUGCGUGAAUUUUCCCACAGCCAAUCGCCUCCGUUUAAAAGCAACAUCGCAGCGAGCUCAGUGCACGGACGUGUGCGCGGCUGCUAGCAGCUAACGGUGCUAGCGGAGCUAAGAGUCAAAGAGUCGGCCAUCUUUAAGGGAAAAUCACAUGGCCCCGUAUUGUGUUUCCUGUUUGGUGCUAAAAUCUUGAAAACGAUGAAAAAGGGAAUCUUUAUUACUGAUUACUUAAAGAAUGCACGUUUAACACACGAAGCGCUGACUUCAUUCCUCAGACCGGAGCUGUUUCCUGCAUUUUACAGCAAAGGUUCUGAUAUUUGUCAAUCCGGUGACCUUCUUCUGUGACUCAGCGUUCUUUGUGUCGAGCUCAAGGUCAUAAUCAGACUCCCACAGUUACAGACAAAUAAUCUCUGAGUGGAAACUAAAUAUGAUCCGGGUUGAUUCCCAGCAUUAUAACAGAAGUGGAAAACAUUUCCUGAUUCCCGUGUGAUAUUUUUAUGUGGCGGCCGUCCUUUGAUCAGUGAGCUGAGCCAAGAGAUAAAAGCACGCAACUUGGUUGUUGUUGUUGUUGUUUACGCUUUUAACCCACCACCCUCCCAGUGGAAGGUAAACGGGGAGUAUCGGUCUCCUUCCAGGUAGGCAGGUACCCUCUUUGUAGCGUGUCACACACAGGCAAACGCACACAGACGCACACACACAACCGCGCCCUCGGCCCUGCUGCUCCACGCUGGGAGAGCUGACGUAGGCCGGCGUCCGUAAACAGAGUAACACCGACUCUCCUGCAGCAGCUGGUUCCACCUAUUGUUCCUCGCUGCCGGAGGGAGCGCGUCACGGCGAGGAGCGACCGGGAGCACCGCCUUCACACCGCCUUCACGCCGCCUUCACACCGCCUUCACGCCGCCUACACG
This is a long non-coding RNA of Gasterosteus aculeatus aculeatus (three-spined stickleback), 1255 nucleotides long. Lineage: Eukaryota; Metazoa; Chordata; Actinopteri; Perciformes; Gasterosteidae. The record is from Ensembl.